Molecule: ribosomal RNA, 326 nt
Filed under: uncultured eukaryote
Lineage: Eukaryota
Description: partial 18S ribosomal RNA
Rfam family: Eukaryotic small subunit ribosomal RNA
Source: RNAcentral
CCCUUAGAUGUUCUGGGCCGCACGCGUGCUACACUGACCGGCGCAACAAGUUUCUUUCCUUGGCUCGAUAGGCCUGGGUAAUCUUUGAACGCCGGUCGUGAUGGGGAUAGAUCCUUGCAAUUUUUGAUCUUCAACGAGGAAUUCCUAGUAAAUGCGAGUCAUCAUCUCGCGUUGAUUACGUCCCUGCCCUUUGUACACACCGCCCGUCGCACCUACCGAUUGAGUGAUCCGGUGAAUAAUUCGGACUGCAGCAGUGUCCAGUUCCUGGACGUUGCAGCGGAAAGUUUAGUGAACCUUAUCACUUAGAGGAAGGAGAANUCGUANCA